RNAcentral lists this ribosomal RNA (2312 nucleotides) under human gut metagenome. RNAcentral describes it as "bacterial LSU rRNA". It matches the Rfam family "Bacterial large subunit ribosomal RNA", at positions 38 to 2387 of the family's 2925-position model. The record is from RNAcentral.
ACUAAGAGCCGAUGAAAGACGUGAUAAGCUGCGAAAAGCUUCGGGGAGGAGCACAUAUCCAAUGAUCCGGAGAUAUCUGAAUGGGGAAACCCGGCAGAGGAAACCUCUGUCAGCGUGCAGUGAAUACAUAGCUGUACGUGGGGAACCCGGGGAACUGAAACAUCUAAGUACCCGGAGGAAGAGAAAGAAAAUUUAUCGAUUUCCAAAGUAGCGGCGAGCGAAAUGGAAAGAGCCCAAACCGUGAUGCGUGCAUCGCGGGGUUCGGACUGCGUUGUGGCAGACGUAAGAUAGGAGAACGGACUGGGAAGUCCGGCCGGAGAGAGUGAAAGCCUCGUAUCCGAAAUCCCAAGUCGCCUAGCAGGAUCCAGAGUAGGACGAGACACGAGAAACCUUGUCUGAACGAGCGGGGACCACCCCGUAAGGCUAAAUACUUCUUAGUGACCGAUAGCGCAUAGUACUGUGAAGGAAAGGUGAAAAGUACCCCGGGAGGGGAGUGAAAGAGAACCUGAAACCCUGUGUCUACAAGCUGUGGGACCUCUUUAUAUGAGGGACUGCGUACUUUUUGUAGAACGGUCCGGCGAGUUGUGCGUACUGGCGAGGUUAAGGACUUAAGGUCUGGAGCCGAAGUGAAAGCAAGCGUUAAUAGCGCGUCAAGUCAGUGAGUGCAGACCCGAAACCGGGUGACCUAUCCAUGUCCAGGUUGAAGCUUCCGUAAGAGGAAGUGGAGGACCGAACCCACAUCCGUUGAAAAGGGUGGGGAUGAGGUGUGGAUAGCGGAGAAAUUCCAAUCGAACCCGGAGAUAGCUGGUUCUCCUCGAAAUAGCUUUAGGGCUAGCCUCAUGAGAGUCUUAUGGAGGUAGAGCACUGAAUUGCCUAGGGGGCGUCAAAGCUUACCAAAGCAUAUCAAACUCCGAAUGCCAUCAAGAUGAUUCAUGGGAGUCAGACCAUACGAGAUAAGUUGGAUGGUCAAAAGGGAAAGAGCCCAGACCUACAGCUAAGGUCCCAAAGUACGUGUUAAGUGGAAAAGGAUGUGGGGAUUCUAAGACAACUAGGACGUUGGCUUAGAAGCAGCCAUUCAUUGAAAGAGUGCGUAAUAGCUCACUAGUCGAGAGUCCCUGCGCCGAAAAUGUCCGGGGCUGAAACACGACACCGAAGCUUAGGAAUGUGUAAACAUUGGUAGAGGAGCAUUGCUAGCGGGAUGAAGCCAUACCGUAAGGAGUGGUGGACUGCUAGGAAGAGAGAAUGCCGGAAUGAGUAGCGAGAUGAAGGUGAGAAUCCUUCAGGCCGAAUAUCUAAGGUUUCCAGAGUAAAGCUGAUCUGCUCUGGGUAAGUCGGGGCCUAAGGCGAGGUCGAAAGACGUAGUCGAUGGAUAACAGGUUGAAAUUCCUGUACUAUCCUGUAACAGAACUGUGGGGACACAGGCAGAGAGCGUGAGCCGGGAAUGGAAAGACCGGUACAAGCGAGGUAGGAGAAGAGUUGGCAAAUCCGCUCUUUAAUCUGAAGACGUGAUGUGGACUGAAAAUAAGUAGGGAAGCACGUGAGCUGACUGUCAAGAAAAGCCGCUAUUGUUUGCAGGAUACCCGUACCGUAAACCGACACAGGUGGAUGAGGAGAGAAUCCUAAGGCCGACGGGAGAAGCAUUGUUAAGGAACUCGGCAAAAUGACUCCGUAACUUCGGGAGAAGGAGUGCCAGUAAGAUGGCCGCAGAGAAUUGGCCCAAGCAACUGUUUAGCAAAAACACAGGUCUAUGCAAAACCGAAAGGUGAGGUAUAUGGGCUGACGCCUGCCCGGUGCUGGAAGGUUAAGGGGAGAGGUUAGCGCAAGCGAAGCUUUGAACUUAAGCCCCAGUAAACGGCGGCCGUAACUAUAACGGUCCUAAGGUAGCGAAAUUCCUUGUCGGGUAAGUUCCGACCCGCACGAAAGGCGUAAUGAUUUGGGCACUGUCUCAACAAUGCACCCGGUGAAAUUGAAAUACCAGUGAAGAUGCUGGUUACCUGCGCCAGGACGGAAAGACCCCAUGGAGCUUUACUCCAGCUUGAUACUGGGAUUCGGUAUUGCAUGUACAGGAUAGGUGGGAGGCUAGGAAAUGGUAACGCCAGUUGCCAUGGAGCCAAUGUUGGGAUACCACCCUUGCAGUACUGGGUUUCUAACCAGCAGCCGUGAUCCGGCUGGGGGACAAUGUCAGGUGGGGAGUUUGACUGGGGCGGUCGCCUCCGAAAGGGUAUCGGAGGCGCUCAAAGGUUCCCUCAGAAUGGUUGGAAACCAUUCGAAGAGUGCAAAGGCAGAAGGGAGCUUGACUGCGACACCGACGG